Molecule: long non-coding RNA, 496 nt
Filed under: Mustela putorius furo (domestic ferret)
Lineage: Eukaryota; Metazoa; Chordata; Mammalia; Carnivora; Mustelidae
Description: lncRNA (ENSMPUG00000024361.1)
Source: RNAcentral
CCCACUCCAUUGUUGGGCUCACUGGAAUUCUAGAAGCUGCCUACGGCAGCUAGAAUUCUAGAAGGUGCCUACGGCACCUGUUUUCUUCAAUCCAACCGAAGAGGAUUUAGUUACUUGGCAUCUCAGAGAAGCCUGCGGAAACAUUGCCUUAACAGGAUGUGGGGAGCACAGCCGCACACACCCCCCCUCCCAUGAAGCCCGGUUUUUUGGAAGGUUGGUGGGUGUGGUGCGCACUCGUCCGCGGCCCUAAUGCCCAGAGCCUGGGAACGCGUCACUUUGUCCAGCAAAAGAGAUUCCGUAGCUGUGGUGAAGUUCAAGAUCUUGAGAUGGGAAGAUUGUCCCAGGAGGAACGCAGCACGGCCAACACCUUGAUGGGGGCCCAGGGAGACCCAGUGCAGACCGCUGACCACCGGAGCUCUGAGAGAAUAAACGUGUGUUGUCAGAAGCCGCUGAGUUUGCCAGCGAAGCCACUGAAUUUGUCGCAGCCGCCCUCGAA